AGUGAACGCUGGCGGUAGGCCUAACACAUGCAAGUCGAACGGCAGCACAGUAAGAGCUUGCUCUUACGGGUGGCGAGUGGCGGACGGGUGAGGAAUACAUCGGAAUCUACUUUUUCGUGGGGGAUAACGUAGGGAAACUUACGCUAAUACCGCAUACGACCUACGGGUGAAAGCAGGGGAUCUUCGGACCUUGCGCGAUUGAAUGAGCCGAUGUCGGAUUAGCUAGUUGGCGGGGUAAAGGCCCACCAAGGCGACGAUCCGUAGCUGGUCUGAGAGGACGAUCAGCCACACUGGAACUGGGACACGGUCCAGACUCCUACGGGAGGCAGCAGUGGGGAAUAUUGGACAAUGGGCGCAAGCCUGAUCCAGCCAUACCGCGUGGGUGAAGAAGGCCUUCGGGUUGUAAAGCCCUUUUGUUGGGAAAGAAAAGCAGCAGGUUAAUACCCCGCUGUUCUGACGGUACCCAAAGAAUAAGCACCGGCUAACUUCGUG
This 492-nucleotide ribosomal RNA is filed under the name uncultured bacterium. RNAcentral's name for it is "partial 16S ribosomal RNA". It matches the Rfam family "Bacterial small subunit ribosomal RNA", at positions 29 to 507 of the family's 1533-position model. The record is from RNAcentral.